CUUAAGUGUGCCUACUCGAUGAUGGCGGUGCUGUGCGCGUCUGCCGACAGAAAAACACGGCGUUGUAGCGGGGACGGGGUAACACCACUGUACAUCAUAACUGUUACGUGUUUACCGUUUGUAGAUUCACUUUAGAUGGGACGCGUACAACUGGUAUUCUGGUACUUCCCUGCCGUCUGAUUACGGCCCUAUUCCGGAACACUAGCACUGAGGGUUCCGUUCCAGUAGGCCGGCAUUACUUUCACAGACACCUCCAGAAAAGACUCGUUUCAGGUGCCCCCUUCAGGCUGCGUCUCCGCUUGGCUAUGCGACAGCCAAUUUUACGUUACAUAUCAACCGUGCAGAUCUAUGGUUUCAUUGUGGGGAAAAUUGCCUGCACUAGCUUGGUUGUUCGCACACGUGGAAACCGUUCCUGAUUCUCAAAGUUCCAUAAGCGGCGACAAGGUAUCGAGAAACAUUUAGAAGGCCUUUGUGGUCGUUAAUAUCAAAUGCAUCAAUCGGAGUGGCCGGUGACUCUACGUCUUCACUGAACUCUGCUGCGGAAGUGGGUAGUUGCACACCGUGGGUUCAUUAACCAUUGCUAUCGGUCUCGAGCCGGCAUUAAAAGGCGGUGACAGCUUUGUGAACACACAAGGCAGAUUGAAUGCAGGCUUGUAACAUCAUGGAUGGUUGCUUAAGCUACGCAAAGCGUGGUGCCAUCACGUGAGCGGUGCCGUUGUUCUUAAGUGUUUCCUCACACAUGCAGUGAGUGUCCAUAUCCUGGUUAUGGAGAUGUGCAGCAUCUCGUUACUUAAUAUGGUCAUGGGGUUAGGUGUGCAAGGGUAUAUGUCACUCUACCUGGGGAUCCGCUGGUUCAGGGGUCCGGCACAUCUACGCGGGUAUCCAGAAAUGGUGGUCAAUGUGACUUCGGGGGCCGAAAAAAAACUGCAGGGCAGAAACACUACGCCCCGUACUGUAGCG
RNAcentral lists this long non-coding RNA (960 nucleotides) under Toxoplasma gondii VEG. Lineage: Eukaryota; Apicomplexa; Conoidasida; Eucoccidiorida; Sarcocystidae. The record is from RNAcentral.